RNAcentral lists this non-coding RNA (26 nucleotides) under Homo sapiens (human). Lineage: Eukaryota; Metazoa; Chordata; Mammalia; Primates; Hominidae. The record is from RNAcentral.
UGCCUCACAGUGGACUCUCCACGAAC